UACAGAGGUCCCGAGCGUUGUUCGGAUUCAUUGGGCGUAAAGGGUGCGUAGGCGGCUUGGUAAGUCUGAUGUGAAAUCCUGGGGCUCAACCCCGGAACUGCAUUGGAUACUGCCGGGCUAGAGAACUGGAGAGGAGACUGGAAUUUACGGUGUAGCAGUGAAAUGCGUAGAGAUCGUAAGGAAGACCAGUGGCGAAGGCGAGUCUCUGGACAGUUACUGACGCUGAGGCACGAAGGCCAGGGGAGCAAACGGG
Molecule: ribosomal RNA, 253 nt
Filed under: uncultured Spartobacteria bacterium
Lineage: Bacteria; Pseudomonadati; Verrucomicrobiota; Spartobacteria
Description: partial 16S ribosomal RNA
Rfam family: Bacterial small subunit ribosomal RNA
Source: RNAcentral